This 76-nucleotide transfer RNA is filed under the name Krasilnikoviella flava. RNAcentral describes it as "tRNA_Lys_TTT". It matches the Rfam family "tRNA". From Rfam's summary of the family: Transfer RNA (tRNA) molecules are approximately 80 nucleotides in length. Their secondary structure includes four short double-helical elements and three loops (D, anti-codon, and T loops). Further hydrogen bonds mediate the characteristic L-shaped molecular structure. tRNAs have two regions of fundamental functional importance: the anti-codon, which is responsible for specific mRNA codon recognition, and the 3' end, to which the tRNAs corresponding amino acid is attached (by aminoacyl-tRNA synthetases). tRNAs cope with the degeneracy of the genetic code in two manners: having more than one tRNA (with a specific anti-codon) for a particular amino acid; and 'wobble' base-pairing, i.e. permitting non-standard base-pairing at the 3rd anti-codon position. Lineage: Bacteria; Bacillati; Actinomycetota; Actinomycetes; Micrococcales; Promicromonosporaceae. The record is from RNAcentral.
GGGCCUCUAGCUCAACUGGCAGAGCAGCGGACUUUUAAUCCGCGGGUUCAGGGUUCGAGCCCCUGGGGGCCCACCC